UAAAGGUUUGGUCCUGGCCUUUUUAUUAGUUGAUAGUAAAAUUAUACAUGCAAGUCUCAGCAACCCUGUGAGAAUACCCUUUAAAUCUAUAAGAUCAAAAGGAGUGGAUAUCAAGCACGCCAUUAGGCAGCUAAUAACAUCUUGCUAAGCCACACCCCCACGGGUUACAGCAGUAACAAAAAUUUAGCAAUUAACGAAAGUUAGACUAAGUUAUACUAUUAUAGGGUUGGUAAAUUUCGUGCCAGCCACCGCGGUCAUACGAUUAACCCAAACUAAUAAAUAUCGGCGUAAAGCGUGCUCAUGGAUAAAAAUUAAUAAUAAAGAUAAAUUACUUCUACACUGUAAAAAGCUAUAGAAUUACUGAAAAUAAACUACGAAAGUGACUUUACUAUGCCUUAUAGCACGAUAGCUAAGACACAAACUGGGAUUAGAUACCCCACUAUGCUUAGCCCUAAACCUUAAUAAUUUAAAACAAAAUUAUUCGCCAGAGAACUACUAGCAAUAGCUUAAAACUUAAAGGACUUGGCGGUUUCGCCAGAGAACUACUAGCAAUAGCUUAAAACUUAAAGGACUUGGCGGUGCUUUAUAUCCACCUAGAGGAGCCUGUUAUAUAAUCGAUAAACCCCGAUAUACCUCACCACUACUUGCUAAUUCAGUCUAUAUACCGCCAUCUUCAGCAAACCCUUAAAAGGUGAAAUAGUAAGCUUAAUAAUUUCCAUAAAAACGUUAGGUCAAGGUGUAGCCUAUGUAGUGGAACUCAAUGGGCUACAUUUUCUGACCCAGAAUAUUUUACGGAUAUUUUCAUGAAAUUGAAAAUUAAAGGAGGAUUUAGUAAUAAACUAAGAAUAGAGAGCUUAGUUGAAUUAGGCCAUGAAGCACGUACACACCGCCCGUCACCCUCCUAAAGUAUAUAAAUUAUUUUAACCAUAUUACCUUAUAAUAAACUACAAGAGGAGAUAAGUCGUAACAAGGUAAGCAUACUGGAAAGUGUGCUUGGAAAACC
Molecule: ribosomal RNA, 1003 nt
Filed under: Chrysochloris asiatica (Cape golden mole)
Lineage: Eukaryota; Metazoa; Chordata; Mammalia; Afrosoricida; Chrysochloridae
Description: 12S ribosomal RNA
Rfam family: Bacterial small subunit ribosomal RNA
Source: RNAcentral